Molecule: long non-coding RNA, 1688 nt
Organism: Eriocheir sinensis (Chinese mitten crab)
Lineage: Eukaryota; Metazoa; Arthropoda; Malacostraca; Decapoda; Varunidae
Exons: 3
Source: RefSeq, a predicted model, not a curated record
UUUUGAAUGCUUAAUACAUAAUCUUAGGUGUUUUAUAGUUAUCUGAUCGUGUUUGGAGGUUAUUAGUAGUGAUAUUAAUAAAAGAAAAGUAAGUAUAGUUAGGCUCGUCGCCCUGCCUCCAGCCCGCCUUCACCUCGAAGUUGCUGGCCAUCUUGACAGCCCGCAGACAGAAUCCUCGAGUAUUUCAGGAAUUUCUCGCCUUGGAACGCCUGGAAUCAUGGAGCCAGUGAUGGAAGCAGGAACAGGAGGACUUGGAGGAGAGGCUGGGACAGGGAAGUCUGCAGCCCACCAGCCUUUAUGGACCAGCCGCCACUGCUGCCACCCGAGCAUAUUCCCCUGAUGUUUGAGAGGAUGGAAGAGAAGGCCUCCACCCCAGCCCUGAAGGACAUGGUUGCCUCAUGAGGGCAACAUGGAUUAACUCAUCCCUGUGGCCCCCAGAGGCAUGGAGUGUGUUUAUGCCGUCAAUCCGCACCAACAAUGAAUGAUAUUGAAGGAUGGCAUGCCCGGCUGAACCGCCAUGCCCUUCUUGGCGCUCCCUUCAAGAUAGAGGCUUUGGUACUCACACAAGAAUGCACACACAUGGAUAUAAGGAGCCUGCAAGAGGCCAGACAACCUACACAUGGCAGUUCCUGAGGAUGGGCUGUUCAUCAGAUUCCCAUCUUGUCCACACUCCUCUUGGCUCAUCCUCUUCCCAGAAUGGACAGACAGAGCUCAUGAAGGCUGACUGACUGGCUGGAUCUCUGCUGCUGCUGUGUUGUGCAAAACCCUCAUGAUGCAAGAUUACGCCUCUCCGGGCCAGCAUACUGCUAUCCCGCCGAACUAGGAGCAACAGAAUGGCUGAAUUAUACACUACUAGCAACAAAAGGACUCUUAACUGCUUUUGGCUGAAUUAUACACUACUAGCAACAAAAGGACUCUUAACUGCUUUUGGCUGAAUUAUACACUACUAGCAACAAAAGGACUCUUAACUGUCAGUAUAAAGCAGUGUUAAAAUAAGCUUCUAAAGCCAUACAAUAGGUAUAUAGUAAUUAGACUUUUCAAAUGCUUACAGGCAUUGAAAUGCCAUUUUUGGUGAUAAUACACCAAGUGUUCUGCUAAAAUAUCCUUUAUUUCAGGCUAUUUGAGGCCUUAAAAACUGUACUAGUCAUAACUACCUCGCAGACUCUUCGGAGAUGAACAGGAAGGUUUUAGUGAAAAAGCCAAUGAGUGUGCGGUUAAGAGUAUUUAUUGACCAAAUCUAAUUUAUUACAAUAUUCGUGUGAACUGUUAUAAAAGGAGCGGCAGAGAUGAGAUGGAAGCCCUUCAGGAAGUCGAGUCUUCCCACCAAUGAGCAAGAGGAGACACCCGUCCUUUGAGGAGUAGUCGUCAACCCAAAUGAGAUGGAAGCCCAAUGAGCAGCAUGGAUCCAGGCAACUGCAAGACAGAGAUAGCAGUCUUUCAAGUAGUCAACUCUGGGUAACCCAGAGAUGAGAUGCCAGCCCUUCUGAGAGUUGAGAUGCCCACCAGUGAGCGGAAUGGGUCCAGGCAGCCCCCCACCUCAGCGAUCCUCAGGAGCAGUCACUUGUUCUGUCCUAAGGAGAGAGACGAGGAGGAUUACCAUCAGCUGCUGGCUGGUUUGGUCAAAAGCUCGGCCGCUGUUGUCUUUCAUUGUACUUUUACCCAAAUUUAAAUAAACUUCAUAAAGAUAC